This 163-nucleotide unclassified non-coding RNA is filed under the name soil metagenome. Its description in RNAcentral is "partial contains small subunit ribosomal RNA, internal transcribed spacer 1, and 5.8S ribosomal RNA". The record is from RNAcentral.
UUUCCGUAGGUGAACCUGCGGAAGGAUCAUUAACAAGUCUCUGUGCUCGAGGGGGGUGAUAGCUCCUUGACACAUUAGUGCUACGCACUCUGCGCGUAGAUAUUCAUUUUGACUGAUCAUUUGCAAGCGAAUACAACUUUUAACAAUGGAUCUCUAGGCUCUU